UGAUAGCGUAGAAGCGUGAGGUUGCUACCCUGCGAGGUAGGUUUUCCGUGGAGCGAAUGUCAAGUUAAGAAACUGACGACAA
This 82-nucleotide non-coding RNA is filed under the name human gut metagenome. RNAcentral describes it as "S10-Clostridia ribosomal protein leader". It matches the Rfam family "S10-Clostridia ribosomal protein leader". The record is from RNAcentral.